UGAACGCUGGCGGCGUGCCUAACACAUGCAAGUCGAACGAGACUGAUUAGAUUGAGAUUUCGGUUGAUUCUAUGAAAGUCGAGUGGCGGACGGGUGAGUAACACGUGGGUAACCUGCCUUACAGAGGGGGAUAACAGUUUGAAAAGACUGCUAAUACCGCAUAAGCGCACAGCUUCGCAUGAAGCAGUGUGAAAAACUCCGGUGGAACAAAGAUUCAUCGCUAUGGGAUGGGGAUGCGUCUGAUUAGCUUGUUGGCGGGGUAACGGCCCACCAAGGCAACGAUCAGUAGGGGUUCUGAGAGGAAGGUCCCCCCACAUUGGAACUGAGACACGGUCCAAACUCCUACGGGAGGCAGCAGUGAGGAAUAUUGGUCAAUGGGCGGAAGCCUGAACCAGCCAAGUAGCGUGAGGGAUGACUGCCCUAUGGGUUGUAAACCUCUUUUACAAGGGAAUAAAAUACGGGACGUGUCCUGUUUUGCAUGUACCUUAUGAAUAAGGACCGGCUAAUUCCGUG
This 513-nucleotide ribosomal RNA is filed under the name uncultured bacterium. RNAcentral's name for it is "bacterial SSU rRNA". It matches the Rfam family "Bacterial small subunit ribosomal RNA", at positions 30 to 507 of the family's 1533-position model. The record is from RNAcentral.